Molecule: ribosomal RNA, 425 nt
Filed under: uncultured Methylobacterium sp.
Lineage: Bacteria; Pseudomonadati; Pseudomonadota; Alphaproteobacteria; Hyphomicrobiales; Methylobacteriaceae
Description: bacterial SSU rRNA
Rfam family: Bacterial small subunit ribosomal RNA
Source: RNAcentral
AGUCGAACGCCCGUCUUCGGACGGGAGUGGCAGACGGGUGAGUAACACGUGGGAACGUACCCUUUGGUUCGGAAUAACGCAGGGAAACUUGCGCUAAUACCGGAUACGCCCUUUUGGGGAAAGGUUUACUGCCGAAGGAUCGGCCCGCGUCUGAUUAGCUAGUUGGUGGGGUAACGGCCUACCAAGGCGACGAUCAGUAGCUGGUCUGAGAGGAUGAUCAGCCACACUGGGACUGAGACACGGCCCAGACUCCUACGGGAGGCAGCAGUGGGGAAUAUUGGACAAUGGGCGCAAGCCUGAUCCAGCCAUGCCGCGUGAGUGAUGAAGGCCUUAGGGUUGUAAAGCUCUUUUGUCCGGGACGAUAAUGACGGUACCGGAAGAAUAAGCCCCGGCUAACUUCGUGCCAGCAGCCGCGGUAAUACGAA